RNAcentral lists this ribosomal RNA (440 nucleotides) under uncultured bacterium. RNAcentral's name for it is "partial 16S ribosomal RNA". It matches the Rfam family "Bacterial small subunit ribosomal RNA", at positions 338 to 795 of the family's 1533-position model. The record is from RNAcentral.
CCUACGGGAGGCAGCAGUGGGGAAUAUUGCACAAUGGGGGAAACCCUGAUGCAGCGACGCCGCGUGAGUGAAGAAGUAUCUCGGUACGUAAAGCUCUAUCAGCAGGGAAGAAAAUGACGGUACCUGACUAAGAAGCCCCGGCUAACUACGUGCCAGCAGCCGCGGUAAUACGUAGGGGGCAAGCGUUAUCCGGAUUUACUGGUGGUAAAGGGAGCGGAGACGGCGGUGCAAGCAAGAUGUGAAAGCCCGGGGCUCAACCCCGGGACUGCAUUUGGAACUGGGCUGCUAGAGUGUCGGAGAGGCAGGCGGAAUUCCUAGUGUAGCGGUGAAAUGCGUAGAUAUGAGGAGGAACACCAGUGGCGAAGGCGGCCUGCUGGACGAUGACUGACGUUGAGGCGCGAAAGCGUGGGGAGCAAACAGGAUUAGAUACCCGAGUAGUC